GGCUUCUUGGAGCAAACUAAUAGGCUGUGUUCUUACACUAACUGUAUAAAAAGAGGAGAAAAGAAUGCCAGGUACACUUCAGUCUAGGCCAUAUGCCUGGUCUGAAUUGUGAAUGGGGAAACAUGG
This 126-nucleotide small nucleolar RNA is filed under the name Castor canadensis (American beaver). Its description in RNAcentral is "Small nucleolar RNA SNORA51 (ENSCCNG00000006046.1)". It matches the Rfam family "Small nucleolar RNA SNORA51". Rfam says of the family: ACA51 is a member of the H/ACA class of snoRNA that guide the sites of modification of uridines to pseudouridines. The record is from Rfam by way of RNAcentral. Lineage: Eukaryota; Metazoa; Chordata; Mammalia; Rodentia; Castoridae.